Molecule: long non-coding RNA, 288 nt
Organism: Neomonachus schauinslandi (Hawaiian monk seal)
Lineage: Eukaryota; Metazoa; Chordata; Mammalia; Carnivora; Phocidae
Exons: 3
Source: RefSeq, a predicted model, not a curated record
CGGAUCUUCAGGCGAACUUUCUGGAUGGGACUGAAGUGGUACAGCCUCUUGGAAGGGAUUAAAUGUCACCGGGUCAGAGAAUUGCCCAAACUCGGAAGCCAGCAAGAUGUUCUUCGGGAGAACGUACAGCACCAAGUGUGAACCCUACUGUAAGCCACAGAGGCUCUGGAGGCUAGUGACGUGUCGAUGUAGGUUUCCUCUAUUGUAAUGGAGGUGCCCCGUCUAUGGCCAUACCACCCUGAAUGCGCCCGAUCUCGUCUGUAAUGGAGGUGCCCCUCUGAUCCCGCG